UACGAGGGGGGCGAGCGUUGUUCGGAAUUAUUGGGCGUAAAGGGUGCGUAGGCGGUUUGGUAAGUCUGAUGUGAAAUCUAUGGGCUCAACUCAUAGUCUGCAUCGGAAACUGCCGGGCUUGAGUUCGGGAGAGGUGAGUGGAACUGCGAGUGUAGAGGUGAAAUUCGUAGAUAUUCGCAAGAACACCAGUGGCGAAGGCGGCUCACUGGCCCGAUACUGACGCUGAGGCACGAAAGCGUGGGGAGCAAACAGG
Molecule: ribosomal RNA, 253 nt
Filed under: uncultured bacterium
Lineage: Bacteria
Description: partial 16S ribosomal RNA
Rfam family: Bacterial small subunit ribosomal RNA
Source: RNAcentral